This 488-nucleotide ribosomal RNA is filed under the name uncultured delta proteobacterium. Its description in RNAcentral is "bacterial SSU rRNA". It matches the Rfam family "Bacterial small subunit ribosomal RNA", at positions 29 to 507 of the family's 1533-position model. The record is from RNAcentral. Lineage: Bacteria; Deltaproteobacteria.
ACGAACGCUGGCGGCGUGCUUAACACAUGCAAGUCGAACGCGAAAGUUUUCUUCGGAAAGCGAGUAGAGUGGCGCACGGGUGAGUAACGCGUAAGUAAUCUACCCUGGUAUCUGGGAUAACCAACCGAAAGGUUGGCUAAUACCGGAUACGCUGGUAACAGGAAAGGUGGCCUCUUCAUGAAAGCUACUGUACCAGGAGGAGCUUGCGUACCAUUAGCUAGUUGGUAGGGUAAUGGCCUACCAAGGCGACGAUGGUUAGCGGGUCUGAGAGGAUGAUCCGCCACACUGGAACUGGAACACGGACCAGACUCCUACGGGAGGCAGCAGUGAGGAAUAUUGCGCAAUGGGGGAAACCCUGACGCAGCGACGCCGCGUGGAUGAUGAAGGCCUUCGGGUCGUAAAAUCCUGUCAGAUGGAAAGAAGUGUAUAGAUGUUAAUAGCAUUUAUAUUUGACGGUACCAUCAAAGGAAGCACCGGCUAACUCCGUG